Molecule: non-coding RNA, 80 nt
Filed under: uncultured Lachnoclostridium sp.
Lineage: Bacteria; Bacillati; Bacillota; Clostridia; Lachnospirales; Lachnospiraceae
Description: Glycine riboswitch
Rfam family: Glycine riboswitch aptamer
About the family: This family represents the bacterial glycine riboswitch.
Source: RNAcentral
AAUCUCUCUGGAGAGUCCCGCAAGGGCGCCGAAGGUGUAAGGCAGGUUUUCUGCCGAUCUCUCAGGCAAAAGGACAGGGU